CGUAAAAAAAGUCAAACUUGUCCAACUUUAACUGUCUGUUUUAUAUGAAAUUUUUUUAUAAUUUGUAUUUUUAUUGUUGUUAGAUGAUAAAACAUGAUUAAUAUUUUAUACGUGACUUGUCUUUUUAAUUUUUUUCAUAAUUUUUUUUAAAUAAGAUAGACGGUUAAAUGUUGGACACGGAAACCAAUGUUUGUCUUUUUC
This is a microRNA precursor of Oryza sativa Japonica Group (Japanese rice), 201 nucleotides long. It matches the Rfam family "MIR812 microRNA precursor family". Lineage: Eukaryota; Viridiplantae; Streptophyta; Magnoliopsida; Poales; Poaceae. The record is from Rfam.